RNAcentral lists this ribosomal RNA (253 nucleotides) under uncultured bacterium. RNAcentral describes it as "partial 16S ribosomal RNA". It matches the Rfam family "Bacterial small subunit ribosomal RNA", at positions 524 to 776 of the family's 1533-position model. The record is from RNAcentral.
UACGUAGGGGGCGAGCGUUGUCCGGAGUUACUGGGCGUAAAGCGCACGCAGGCGGUCUGCUAAGUUUGGAGUGACAGUUGGUGGCUUAACUGCCAAAGUGCUUCGAAAACUGACAGACUUGAGGGCUUCAGAGGGACACGGAAUUCCGGGUGGAGUGGUGAAAUGCGUAGAGAUCCGGAGGAACACCAACGGCGUAGGCAGCGCCCUAGACAAGACCUGACGCUCAGGCACGAAAGCGCGGGGAGUGAACAGG